CCCUUAGAUGUCCUGGGCCGCACGCGCGCUACACUGACAUGUUCAACAAGUUUCUCCUAGUUCGAUAGGACUGGGAAAUCUUUGAACGCAUGUCGUGAUAGGGAUAGAUCAUUGCAAUUAUUGAUCUUGAACGAGGAAUUCCUAGUAAACGCGAGUCAUCAGCUCGCAUUGAUUACGUCCCUGCCCUUUGUACACACCGCCCGUCGCACCUACCGAUUGAAUGUUUCGGUGAAGAUUCCGGAUAGGACUGAUUUGAUUUAUUUCAUUUCUGACCUAAAAGCUAUCUAAACCUCAACAUUUAGAGGAAGGUGAAGUCGUAACA
Molecule: ribosomal RNA, 322 nt
Filed under: uncultured eukaryote
Lineage: Eukaryota
Description: partial 18S ribosomal RNA
Rfam family: Eukaryotic small subunit ribosomal RNA
Source: RNAcentral